This 559-nucleotide ribosomal RNA is filed under the name Odontella aurita. RNAcentral describes it as "partial Bacterial small subunit ribosomal RNA". It matches the Rfam family "Bacterial small subunit ribosomal RNA", at positions 11 to 559 of the family's 1533-position model. Lineage: Eukaryota; Bacillariophyta; Thalassiosirophyceae; Eupodiscales; Odontellaceae. The record is from RNAcentral.
GUUUGAUCAUGGCUCAGAUUGAACGCUGGCGGCAGGCCUAACACAUGCAAGUCGAACGGUAACAUUUCUAGCUUGCUAGAAGAUGACGAGUGGCGGACGGGUGAGUAAUGCUUGGGAACUUGCCUUUGCGAGGGGGAUAACAGUUGGAAACGACUGCUAAUACCGCAUAAUGUCUACGGACCAAAGGGGGGGAUUCUUCGGAACCUCUCGCUCAUAGAUUAGCCCAAGUGAGAUUAGCUAGUUGGUAAGGUAAUGGCUUACCAAGGCGACGAUCUCUAGCUGGUUUGAGAGGAUGAUCAGCCACACUGGGACUGAGACACGGCCCAGACUCCUACGGGAGGCAGCAGUGGGGAAUAUUGCACAAUGGGGGAAACCCUGAUGCAGCCAUGCCGCGUGUGUGAAGAAGGCCUUCGGGUUGUAAAGCACUUUCAGCGAGGAGGAAAGGGUAGUAUUUAAUAAAUGCUAUCUGUGACGUUACUCGCAGAAGAAGCACCGGCUAACUUCGUGCCAGCAGCCGCGGUAAUACGAGGGGUGCAAGCGUUAAUCGGAAUUACUGGGC